UGCCUGCUCUUGAACUGAAAAGCAUUAGGCUUGGCAUCACAUCGCUAGCAGAAAGAAGGUCAACUUGUGAGGUCUUGUAGAAGUUAGGGUCAACCAAUAAAUUAUUUGGAAGAUCUUUGAAUGAAGAAGUCGGAAUAGGGUGACUUGGCAGAUUCUCCGAAAGUUUAGGGACGACGAAGGCAGCAAUUGUUAAUUCAAAAUUGUGGUCAAAUUGCGAAGAGAGAAUGAAAGUGAGCCGUGUAUAUGAAACGCCCUGUUUUCUCUUUGAACGACGUGAGAAAAUAAGUAACCGGCGUCGGCGUUAAAUAUGAUUGGCUGAGUGGAGUUCGAAUAGGUAUGUGGGUGCACUCACAUUCACAUACAUAUGCAAAUUCCAUUCAGCGAUGUAAACAAAUGCGAUGGAAAAACCAGUUGCCGGCUUGCAAGUGGAUUAUAAGUUUGGGAUGAAGUCAGUCUUAAAAGUGAUGUCGGCAAAUUAAGAUCCGCAAACGUCCACCCCCUCCCCUCCCGUUAAAAGUGAAAAACCAAUAAGUACAAAAUGCAGUAUUUCUAUUUAGUCGGAACAAUAUUUAUGUUAAAAUUUGUUCACCUUUAUGAGCCAGAUUUGUAAAAUAUUAUGCUAUACAAAAUUUGCAUUAAAGCCUAAAACUUCGGGCCGGCAACGCGGACCGGGCCAGCUAGUUAUUAAAUAAAGUGAAUUGUCGGUGAAUAUGUUUGGUGCAACAAUACAUAUCUUCAACCGAUUUUGUUUGGACAUAAAAUUAAGUAAUAAUUAUUCAGCAUCAAAUUUGACCGCAGAUAUCGAAUCACAAUCACAAUACAUCGUCCGACGUUUACCAAACGCUUAAUGAUGACCAUUUAUGUUUAAGUCAGAAUAGUUCAGUUAACAGACAUGCUUAUCCUAGUAUUCCUACAACAGAGGUAUAUUGAA
This is a long non-coding RNA of Musca domestica (house fly), 931 nucleotides long. RefSeq lists it as uncharacterized. The transcript has 3 exons. Lineage: Eukaryota; Metazoa; Arthropoda; Insecta; Diptera; Muscidae. The record is from RefSeq and is a predicted model, not a curated record.